GUGAGCCGAAAGAUUGCUAUUUAUCCCCAUAUAAUCUCGAGUAAGCAUUUGAUUAUGUUUUAAAUACAAUACCUUAUAUAUAAUAUACUAUAAACUAAUAAAAUUCUUAUUUGUAGGGGGUAUUGGAUGUUGAUUGCGAUUUGUCCUAAAUUACAUGAAAUCUAUUGGUUUGAUUCCAUUGGUCAUCAGCCACGUGAGGAUAUUAAAGAUAUAAUUGAAACGUCUUUGAAGGCAACAAGCAUAAUAGGUGGAAAGAAAGCAAGUCGUCAACUAAAAUGGAUUACAUGUUCGUGUGUCAUACAAAGAGGAGGUACCGAAUGCGGAUAUUAUGUGAUGAAAUUUAUUUU
Ipomoea triloba (trilobed morning glory) is the source of this 347-nucleotide long non-coding RNA. RefSeq lists it as uncharacterized. NCBI's taxonomy places the organism in Eukaryota, Viridiplantae, Streptophyta, Magnoliopsida, Solanales, Convolvulaceae. The record is from RefSeq and is a predicted model, not a curated record. The transcript is spliced from 3 exons.